Molecule: small RNA, 2573 nt
Filed under: Pongo abelii (Sumatran orangutan)
Lineage: Eukaryota; Metazoa; Chordata; Mammalia; Primates; Hominidae
Description: retained intron
Source: RNAcentral
CAGGCCAGCCAGAGCUAAUUUCUAUCUCCCAGCAUGGAGGACGACGGCAGCCUGCUCCCCAAGGAUGAGCUUUUGGCCGAUGCCCCCCUUUUGGAAGAUGAAAGAGAUGAAUUAGAGGAUCCGGAGUUUGACAUCAAAUGUCUUCUGCAGGAAGCUGAGGAUGACGUGGACCCAGGACACAGCAGCUCAGUGAAAGAACUAGAUACUGAUGCUGAUAAAUUGAAGAAGAAAACAGCUGAGGACAGAAUGCAGGCAUUUCACCUGCGACAGAACCUGAGCGCCCUGGAUAAGAUGCAUGAGGAGCAAGAGCUUUUCAUUGAGAAGAUGAGAGGGGAGCUGCGCGCCUGUCGGCAGAGGCGGGACCUGAUCAACAAGCAGCAGGAGGCUGUGGCAGCCGAGAUCGCCACAGAGGAAGAGGCGGGCAACAUGGCCGCCGUGGGCCGUCUCCAGGCCGUGUCCAGACGCCUGUUUGCGGAGCUGGAGAACGAGAGAGACCUGCAGUCGAGGACUGAGGCCGUGCUGAAGGAGAGCGAGAACGCCAUGUGGCACAUCCAGAUCCAGGAGGGGCGACUUGAGGCCUUCCGGACAGCUGACCUUGAGGAGGUGGAGGCCACGGGGCGGCGGCUCCAGGUGCGCGCAGCUGAGCGGCUCUGCAGAGAGCAGGAGGCCCUGGGGAAAGUGGAGCGGAACCGGCUGCUGAGGAUCAGGAAGUCCCUGCAUACCCAGAAGGAGCUCGGGCUCAGGCACCAGAAGCUGCUGGAGGACGCCCGGAAGAACCACAAAGUUGCCGUGCGGUUCCUGAAGGCCUCCCUGGGAAGAAUCCGAGAGCAAGAGAAGAAGGAGGAGAUGGAGUGCCACGAGCAUAUGAGGCGACGCAUGGACGCGGUGGUGGCACUGAAGGGCAGCAUCUCCGCGAACCGGGACACCCUGCGGAAGUUCCAAGCAUGGGACCGUGCCAAGGCAGAGCUGGCAGAGCAGAGGGUCCAGGCUGAGAAGAAGGCGAUUCUGGCCCAGGGCGGGGAUGCAUUCAGGCACCUUGUCCACCAGCGCCGGCGCCAGGAGCUGGAGGCCCAGAAGAGGGCCUUUGAGGAGGAACAGAAGCUCAGAAAGCAGGAGAUUGUCAGUCGGAUUCUGAAAGAGGAGGCUGAGGAGGAAAAGAGGAAGAAACAGCGUCCCCCCACCAGUGCCAGGCACCGGCCGACCCUGAGGGACAAGACCUGGAACUACAUUUCUGACUUUUGCAAGGAGGAGACCACAGUCCCAACCAACACGUACACACUGGACUACGAGGCUGCUGCAGGCCCCGGGCCUUCUCGGUUGCUGGAAGUCGUCUCCAGUGAGCUUAUCCAGGGGGACCCCGGGGCCAGCUCAGAGGAGGAAACGUUAGCUGAGCCCGAGAUCUCUGGGCUUUGGAAUGAAGACUACAAGCCAUACCAGGUGCCCAAGGAGGAUGUGGACCGAAAGCCCGUGGGUGGGACAAAGAUGGACAAGGACAUCCUGGCGCGCACAGUGGAGCGACUGCGGAGCAGGGUGGUCCACAAGCAGGUGGUGUUGGGGCGUGAGUUCCAAGGUCGCCCCUUCAACAGCAAACCGGAGCUCCUCCACUUCAAAGACUUUGACAUUGGCAAAGUGUACAAGAAAAAGAUCACGUUGGUCAACACCACCUACACGAUCAACUACUGCAAGCUGGUGGGCGUGGAGGAGCACCUCCGGGACUUCAUCCACGUUGACUUUGACCCCCCUGGCCCCCUGUCAGCCGGAAUGUCCUGCGAAGUGCUUGUCACCUUCAAGCCCAUGAUAAACAAGGAUCUAGAAGGAAAUAUCUCAUUUUUGGCUCAGACGGGCGAGUUUUCAGUUCCACUGAAAUGUUCAACAAAGAAAUGUUCGCUGUCCCUCGACAAGGAGCUCAUUGACUUCGGCAGCUACGUGGUAGGAGAGACCACGUCUCGGACCAUCACAUUGACCAACGUUGGGGGCUUGGGCACGACUUUCAAGUUCCUGCCAGCUUCAGAGCCCUGUGAGAUGGACGACUCCCAGUCUGCCCUGAAAUUAAGCAGUCUGCUGACCUACGAAGAUAAAAGUUUGUAUGACAAAGCUGCCACCAGCUUCUCUGAGCAGCAGCUGGAGGGCACGGAGUCCUCCCAGGCGGACAUGCAGAGCCGGAAGGAGCUGGAGAAGCUGGACAAGGAGCAGGAGGAGGAGCGGCCCGCAGUGUUGUUUUUGGAGUGGACUGAAAUGUACAUUCACGUUGACGCUAACCGAAGACUUGAAGGCACCUCCAGCAUUGGCCCAGCAGGCCGGGCGGGGCCGCACGGGGCGGGGAAGAGGCUCUGCGGUGCCCCCUGGAGAGGCCGGGCUGUGGGGGGCUUCUGUCUAGCUCUGCAGCUGUGGCUGUUGUUAGAUGCGCACCAGCGGGAAGAGGUUCGGAGAAACGGGCCGGCCCUGCCCUCCGCACGCCCUGCAGGGCCGCCAUCGGGAAUCGCUUGCGUCUCCUCCUUGCUUCUCUUGAUCGUUUUCCCACAUACGCAUCGAGAUCCAGAAACCUCCGUCCUCCUCCUGUCUGUCUUCUCGUG